UACGAAGGGGGCAAGCGUUGUUCGGAGUUACUGGGCGUAAAGGGUGCGUAGGCGGCACAUCAAGUAAGGCGUGAAAGCCCCGGGCUUAACCUGGGAAUUGCGCUUUAGACUGGUGUGCUUGAGUAGAGGAGAGGUGAGUGGAAUAUCCAGUGGAGAGGUGAAAUUCGUAGAGAUUGGAUAGAACACCGGUGGCGAAGGCGGCUCACUGGCCUUUUACUGACGCUGAGGCACGAAAGAGUGGGGAGCAAACAGG
This 253-nucleotide ribosomal RNA is filed under the name uncultured bacterium. Its description in RNAcentral is "partial 16S ribosomal RNA". It matches the Rfam family "Bacterial small subunit ribosomal RNA", at positions 524 to 776 of the family's 1533-position model. The record is from RNAcentral.